GUGAGAUAGUCUCAUGAUGGCAGGAACGUCUGAGCCAGCCCAGGUGCCCCUCCUGUGCAUCCAAGAUGGAUUCACAUCCCCGGCUCUCGGCAAGAUAAGUGCAGGGCAAAGCCCCAGAGAGGGGUUGGGAGUGGGUGCAAGUCUGUGCCUGGCCUGGAGGGAUUUUUGCAAUUAGUCCAGUGCAGUGGGUAUCCUGGAACAGGUUAUUUGGAUGCAUCAGAGGAAGGGCUUACUUUGUAUCACUGGAUUCACAUGUGCAGGGCAGAGCAGUUCUGGUGUGUGUCAUGUCCUUUGUCUCGUCUGUGUUUUGUGUCCUUCGUCUCUUAAUUGUGUCACGUGGUGUGUGUUGUCACAGGUGUGGGGUGUCUCACUUGGGGUCAGCCUGGAACUGCUCUGCUUUGCUACGUGGAUCAGUGCGUAGAUAGAAUAUUGCUCAGAGUCUGUCCAGUCUGUGAGCAGGAUGGUCUUGCGAUGCCCUGCUUGGGUGUAUAGCGUCCCGGCUAGGUAGAGUAGGAACCAGUGUCUAGGGUUUAGAGGUUUUUGUCUUUCGUUGUGAGCAAUCCCUAAAUGUUGGAGGGCUGAGUGUUUGAGCAUUUGCCCAUUUCAUUUGCAGGGGCGGUCUUGGGAGCAGCUGAAGAGAGAGGAGCCUUGUAGGUGAGUCGGGGAGGCAGCAGGAGGAGCGGGGAUCCCCUGCAGCUUUAGAGAUGCCCUCUAAUUUUGUCUCUCACUCACUCAGGUAUCCCAGAAGAUGACAGCACAUUGUCCGACUCCAGUCAGAGCCAGCAACCCGAGGCCCUGCCUCAGUGACAGCGAGUAGAGGGGUCAUGGGGGCUGGGGCCACGUGCCACACUACUCACAUAUGGUGUCUGGAUUUCUUUCUGGCAGUUGACUCCGAGUAGUCUGACGAUGGCAGGAACCUCUGAGCCAGCCCAGGUGCCCCUCGUCUGCAUCAAAACUGGAUUGGCAUCCCCGGCUCUCGGAAAGAUAAGUGCAGGGCAAAGACCCAGAGAGGGGCUGGGAGUCAGUGCAAGUAUAUGUGCCUUGCCUGGAAGGGUUUUUGAAAUUAGUCCGGUGCAAGGGAUAUCCUAUAACAGAUUAUUUGUCUCGUCUGUGUUUUGUGUCCUUCGUCUCUUAAUUGUGUCACGUGGUGUGUGUUGUCACAGGUGUGGGGUGUCUCACUUGGGGUCAGCCUGGAACUGCUCUGCUUUGCUACGUGGAUCAGUGCGUAGAUAGAAUAUUGCUCAGAGUCUGUCCAGUCUGUGAGCAGGAUGGCCUUGUGAUGCCCUGCUUGGGUGUAUGGAGUCCCAGCUAGGUAGAGUAGGAACCAGUGUCUAGGGUUUAGAGGUUUUUGUCUUUCGUUGUGAGCAAUCCCUAAAUGUUGGAGGGCUGAGUGUUUGAGCAUUUGCCCAUUUCAUUUGCAGGGGCGGUCUUGGGAGCAGCUGAAGAGAGAGGAGCCUUGUAGGUGAGUCGGGGAGGCAGCAGGAGGAGUGGGGAUCCCCUGCAGCUUUAGAGAUGCCUUCUCAUUUUCUGUCUCACUCACUCAGGUAUCCCGGAAGGUGACAGCCACAGUGUCGGACUCCGGUCAGAGCCAGGGUGCUGGUGAGUAGGGGGAUCACUGGGGUUGGAGCCCCGUGCCACACAACUCACAUAUCACUUAUGAUUUUUUUCCUUGUAGUUGAGUUGGAGAAACCCCAUGACCUCACGAUGGGGCGACUGACCCAGAUUGGUCAUCUUGGGCUGUCCUCGUGUGCAAUCUCCGAGAUUUAAAAGGAUGAGCAAUGAGGCACUGAGCUUUAGUGCUGGCAGGUGUCAUCUGGGUAACUUUUGGGAGCAUCCGGGCAUUGGAGGUGAGUCGGGGAGGCAGCAUGAGAAGCGGGGAUGCACUGCAGCUUUAGAAAUGCCCUCUAAUUUUGUCUUGCUUUUAUUUCUCUUAGUCUCUUUUCCUGAUUUUAAUUCUCUUAGUCUCAUCUUCUGCUUUUAUUUCUCUUAGGCUCUUCUCCUGCUAUUAAUUCUUGUAGUCUCUUCUCCUGAUUUUAAUUCUCUUAGGCUCUUCUCCUGAUUUUAAUGCUCUUAAUCUCUUCUCUUGCUUUUAAUUCUCUUACUCACUUCUCCCUCUUUUUAUUUCUCUUAGUCUCUUCUCCUGAUUGUAAUUUUCCUAGGCUCUUCUCCUGAUUUUAAUUCUUUUUGACUCUUCUCCUGAUUUUAUUUCUCUUAGGCUCUUCUCCUGUUUUUA
RNAcentral lists this long non-coding RNA (2233 nucleotides) under Manacus vitellinus (golden-collared manakin). RNAcentral describes it as "lncRNA (ENSMVIG00005002399.1)". The record is from RNAcentral. Lineage: Eukaryota; Metazoa; Chordata; Aves; Passeriformes; Pipridae.